Molecule: long non-coding RNA, 507 nt
Filed under: Capra hircus (goat)
Lineage: Eukaryota; Metazoa; Chordata; Mammalia; Artiodactyla; Bovidae
Description: lncRNA (ENSCHIG00010005671.1)
Source: RNAcentral
ACUCUGAUUAAAGAAUUGUCUUUUCUGCGAAGAUUCAAGGAAUGCAACUUAGUCGGCGGCAGGGCAGUAAUUCCCGAAUGGACCUGCGCAUGCGCAGAGGGUGCUCACUACCAAAAGACACCUUGUGCCUUGCAAACAAUAUUCCUAGUGGAACAGGCAACAGAUUUCAAUUCCUUUAAAGUUCCUGUUUGUGGUGCUCCGCGUUCUCCGAUAGUAAAAGAUAUCCUGCUGUUUCUUUGCUUCGGAUCCUACGUGCAUAUGAAUAGGAAUCUCUCUUUGUGCAUUGGAGGAGGAGGAAGAGGAGCUGGUCGACUUUUGCAGUUGCUCUCCCCACUUGUCUUCCCUCCCCUUUUCGUGUCUCACCAGGCAAGAGAGUGAAGCUAGAGAAAGCAGAAGUAACAGAUAGAAGAGUCACAUGAUGGAAGAAGCUCUGAUCCCUGUCAGUUCUUGGAGAAAAUCUACUCAGAGUUUAAACGAGUAAACAACAUUGGACCUUACCUGAGGAAG